Molecule: ribosomal RNA, 500 nt
Filed under: uncultured bacterium
Lineage: Bacteria
Description: partial 16S ribosomal RNA
Rfam family: Bacterial small subunit ribosomal RNA
Source: RNAcentral
GACGAACGCUGGCGGCGUGCCUAAUACAUGCAAGUCGAGCGGACCUCUUCGGAGGUUAGCGGCGGACGGGUGAGUAACACGUGGGCAACCUGCCUGUAAGACUGGGAUAACUUCGGGAAACCGGAGCUAAUACCGGAUAAUCCUUUCCCUCUCAUGAGGGAAAGCUGAAAGACGGUUUCGGCUGUCACUUACAGAUGGGCCCGCGGCGCAUUAGCUAGUUGGUGAGGUAACGGCUCACCAAGGCGACGAUGCGUAGCCGACCUGAGAGGGUGGUCGGCAACGCUGACACUAGGACCCGGCCCAGACUCCUACGGGAGGCAGCAGUAGGGAAUCUUCAGCAAUGGACGAAGGUCUGACGGAGCAACGCCGCGUGAGCGAAUAAGGCCUUCGGGUCGUAAAGCUCUGUUGUCAGGGAAGAACAAGUAUCGGAGUAACUGCCGGUACCUUGACGGUACCUGACCAGAAAGCCACGGCUAACUACGUGCCAGCCGCCGCCGUAA